Long non-coding RNA from Cucurbita moschata (crookneck pumpkin), 1527 nucleotides. RefSeq lists it as uncharacterized. The transcript is spliced from 4 exons. Lineage: Eukaryota; Viridiplantae; Streptophyta; Magnoliopsida; Cucurbitales; Cucurbitaceae. The record is from RefSeq and is a predicted model, not a curated record.
ACAAUAUCUGUUGGCGGGCUUGGACUGUUACAGUUUUCUUUGGCUUCCUUACUUUUAUGGCGUUUGUCUUUAUUUAGUAAUUAUUGUUCUCUCGUUACAUAUCAUCCUACUAUUGGUCUAGUACCAUGUGCAACGUUGGCCUGUUCAUACUGUCCCCAUUUUGGUUUCGUAACUGCAUGAUGUAUGUUCUUGUAUGCAUGUUGAAAGGACUGGUUUGCUGUGAUUCUUGGUAGUGACCAGGUUGUUAAAGGGAAACCUGCUUCUUAUCUAGGAUGGCAUCAUUGCCUGACUAAGCUUUUGGAACGUUCUUCAAUUGGGCUGGAAUUGGUACGGCUUAGAUCAUCAAGGUUGUGGUUAACAUAGGAUGGAAUUGCAGUUCCUGCACAAAAAAGAGAAGGAUUUAGAAACUUUGGUCAGUGGACGAAUGUGAUAGCAAAAUAUUUGAGCAGCAGAUGCAACUCAUGCUUAUUAGCUACAUCUGCAGACUGAAUAGCAAGGUAAAGAAUAGAACAAAGCCCUAAACAAUGAGUGACACAACCGUGUUAUUUGAUCGGCAUCGGCAUCGACCAACCAGUAGUAUAUAAACACUUCUUUGUUUGCAAUGUUUUUUACUGUGCUUUUGCCUUCAUGGUGAGUUCUAAGUUUAGAUAUAUGUUAUUACAACAACUCUGGAUUCUGGGGUGCGUGAACAUGAACACUCUAGUCAAGUCCAGUGAUGGCCAGCCAACUCUGCAGCGUUUUCCCCGAACAGACAGAUUAAAACGACGUCGUUUCAGCCCUCCCACACAUCAAUCUACCUAAAUUAUCACUCCUAGCACUCUGCUUUAUAAAUUUUGAAAUAUUAUAUUUUAUUUGCAUGAAAAUUAUUAUGAUUUAUUUUAUGAAGUGAAGUCAUAGUAGGAAAAGGACAAUGAUGGAGAUGAAGGGAGGCAAGUGAAGUCGGUGAGUGACAGACAACCAAUUCCAGCAGUUUCCAUGAACAAAAGAAGAUCAAAACGACAUCAUGGUGCUGGGAGAGCAGCUUACAUUUCAAUAGAGGACAAAGCAGUACCAUCCCCCCACCUUCCCUUUCACCAACAUUUUGCAGUGGCAGCAGAUGGGGGUGAGAGCGAAAGCUAGAGUUCAGCUGUCGUCGCCUCACCAAUUGGCUUGGCUCGGACAUCAGAUUGCUCGUGCCCGCCCCCAUAACCACUCCUGUCCCCUUGUCGAUGGGGAAUCCACUCUCGAGUCGUCGCUCUACUGCGUCUAACCCGGCCUUGUGCAAUAACCCCCCUACGAGCAAAUCAUCCGUCGUCGUAAAGUAGUCUCUAUGAGUGCACGGUUAAGUUUGAUUCUAAACAAUUUGAAUCAUAAGCUAGUGAUGGUUUUAGACUCUUCCCAUCUCAUCUUGAAAUUUGGAUGGAACUUGAGAUCUUGAAUGAGUGUGGUAGCUUUACACUGUUUGAAUCACCGCCACACUGUUCCACCCAAUUUUGGUCAAGCAUUCUUAUGGAUUUAUACUCCAAGUCACAUUUGAAACGUUUAUGA